Molecule: transfer RNA, 70 nt
Filed under: Dreissena polymorpha
Lineage: Eukaryota; Metazoa; Mollusca; Bivalvia; Myida; Dreissenidae
Rfam family: tRNA
About the family: Transfer RNA (tRNA) molecules are approximately 80 nucleotides in length. Their secondary structure includes four short double-helical elements and three loops (D, anti-codon, and T loops).
Source: Rfam by way of RNAcentral
ACUUCCAUAGUGUAAUGGUAAACACGUUCACUCUCAGUGAAAGAUCUAGGUUCAAAUCCUGGUGGAAGUC